Molecule: long non-coding RNA, 1024 nt
Filed under: Homo sapiens (human)
Lineage: Eukaryota; Metazoa; Chordata; Mammalia; Primates; Hominidae
Description: HSALNT0302384
Source: RNAcentral
GCCAGUGCGUAGCGACGAUUCUGGGAGAGGAGGUGCUCGGAGGAAAGGGCGGGGGUUGCUGAUGUAAUGGGGAGAAGUGAUUAAUCCUUCGGUUCGCCGUUUCAGCUUCCCCCCUACCCCAACCUUCACCCGAUUUUUUUGAGCUGAAAAAAAAGUGGAACGAGGGAGCCAAUCUUUGGUCCCACAAACUGCAAGGAAAAGAAAAACCCUCAACAGGAAUUACCUUUAUACCUGAUGCCCCCAACAUAAUCUCUCUCCAAGGGAAACGUGUUUUUAUUGCCUUGCGGCUGAAAAUGUAUUCUCGAUUCUCCCCCUUCUCUCUUUUGUUGUGCAUUUUUUGGAUGUGGUAAAACUGGCAGUUUAUCUGAUUAUCUGGUUUUCAGAACUUUGGGCGAUGUCUCUGAGUGUCAUCAGUUGCUCUCUAGGUUUGACAUAGAUAAUUAAGCAACUACAAAGCGUGAUAAAGCUUUUGAGAGGGAGGAAAAUGUAUUUUGGAAGGAGGGAGAGACGCAAAGAGGCGAGCCUGUGUGUUGAGUCCCAGACUUGGUGUGUGACUACAGGCAAAGUACUUCACCUUUCUAGAUGUCAGCCCCGCCCCCCUCACCUCCCAAGUUUAAAUAAGAACUUAUUUUAGACUACAUGAUCCUGUUUUCAAUUUUUAAGAGUUCUGUGAUUUUGAGAUGAUCUCUCUUUAGUCCAGAAAAAUAGAGAAACGUAGGUCUAUGUUUGUUUCUCAAAAAAAUAUUUGAGGAGGACAGCUGUUACAAAACAGCUGGAGAACUCCAAAUUUUUAUGGUGGUUAGCUAGGUGCAAAUGGGUACAAUUUUAGGUUUGUUCAAAUAAACAUAGGGGAAAAGUAAAAGUACAGGAAAAUUACGUUAUACAUAUAAGUGUGUCCAUCAUUUCUGAUUUUUCUAAAAAUUUACUUUUUUAUUUGACAAGUACUUUUUGGCUCCUUCCGUGUAUGCAUUAAUAUGUAUAUAAGGUGUUAUGGGAAAUACUAAUAAAAGGAAAAUAUUGGGCA